Molecule: ribosomal RNA, 506 nt
Filed under: uncultured bacterium
Lineage: Bacteria
Description: partial 16S ribosomal RNA
Rfam family: Bacterial small subunit ribosomal RNA
Source: RNAcentral
AUUGAACGCUGGCGGCAGGCCUAACACAUGCAAGUCGAACGGUAACAGGAAACAGCUUGCUGUCUCGCUGACGAGUGGCGGACGGGUGAGUAAUGUCUGGGAAACUGCCUGAUGGAGAGGGAUAACUACUGGAAACGGUAGCUAAUACCGCAUAACGUCGCAAGACCAAAGAGGGGGACCUUCGGGCCUCUUGCCAUAGGAUGAGCCAAGAUGGGAUUAGCUAGUAGGUGGGGUAACGGCUCACCUAGGCGACGAUCCCUAGCUGGUCUGAGAGGAUGACCAGCCACACUGGAACUGAGACACGGUCCAGACUCCUACGGGAGGCAGCAGUGGGGAAUAUUGCACAAUGGGCGCAAGCCUGAUGCAGCCAUGCCGCGUGUAUGAAGAAGGCCUUCGGGUUGUAAAGUACUUUCAGCGGGGAGGAAGGGAGUAAAGUCAAUACCUUUGCUCAUUGACGUUACCCGCAGAAGAAGCACCGGCUAACUCCGUGCCAGCCGCCGCGGUAA